This 1783-nucleotide long non-coding RNA is filed under the name Triticum aestivum (bread wheat). Its description in RNAcentral is "long non-coding RNA (TAES_LNC024616)". Lineage: Eukaryota; Viridiplantae; Streptophyta; Magnoliopsida; Poales; Poaceae. The record is from RNAcentral.
UUUUUUUUGUUGAAGGAAACCUGAUGCUCUAAUUUUGCUAUGCAGGUUUCUGCUGGUGAUCUUCUGCUUUAGUUGUUCAAACCAUAAUCGUGUUUGCAUAUCCAUAUGUACUUAUUUCUAUAGAUGUAUAUCAUAUUCUAGAGUGCUAGAUUACACUGGAGAACAAAACAAUUAGUUGUCCACCAGUCUUGUUUAUAUCAAUGCUUGCAUCCUCCCAGGCUUAUCAGGAGAGAAUCUAGUUUUCCAUGGAAACAAGGUGAUCGUGCAUUAUUUAUUCACUCAUGUUACUAAAGCUUCUGUUGUCAAGGAGGCAGUAAUAUUCCAAGUACAUAACUACUUCUUAUUCAGUAAUAUUAAGCAUGAUUAUACAAAACUACAUAUUAAAAAGGUAUAUGAAUCAUAGUCUAGACAUCUCACACUUGCUAGCAUGCGUAAGUGUGUAUGUAAAUUUGAUCGAUUUUGUUUAACUUUAGGUACUUCUAAAUUCUCAUAUGUUUGUAUUUAUUCACACAUUAUGAUGAACUACAAUCUUUUCUAGAUCAGACGAAAGCAUAACAACAAAAAAUGUUUCAUGAGAUGCCACUUCACAUCUUUUAUUCUCACCAGUAUGUGAAUUUUAAGUUGUUACUUAGUGAACUAUAGUCUUGCAGGUUUACACAUAAUAUUAAAGAUAUAAAUCUACAUGAUGUAAUCAGAUUGCGCAUUUGAAUGAGUGCUGCAAGCUGGGAAGGUAAAUAUGACCAGCGAUGAUGGCAGUACGUCAAUGACGUCAUGGAGGUGUGGUGUUCAUCGAUCCCUUCUCUCUUUUUGUUUGUGCGGGUGGCGUGUGUAUAUGGAUUCAUCUUUAUAUGUCAUGUUAAUUGUUCAUUUAGAUUGAUCUCUCUCUCCGAGAACGUUUGCCCCAUGUAUUUGAUAUCAUCUUAGAAAAGAUUGAUUAGUUUUGGUGCCAACUCUUUCUAGAUUAUUUCAGAUAUGAUGUCUCGAUUAGAAAAAUAAUAUCACUAGAGGUAUUUUCUGUUGUAAUUUGUGUAUGUGUUUUUCAUGUUGUGCAAUAGUAUUUUUUUCUCUUUCUCAAGAAUCUUAAUUAUUGAUGCAUAUGAUUGUAGGAUAAUUAACUCUAACAACUGCUCUGUGCCUGCGCCUAUUCAUAUGCUCUGACUUCGGAAGUGCAAACCAAUAAAAAGGUAAGCUCCAAACAUAGAGCCUUUUUCUAAUUUGUAUUUUGUUUCCUAUAAUUUCUGAUGACUAUAAAUGUGAACAUGACCCAGUAUUUACAAGCAUAAGUUGUGGUUAGCUUUAUCAUCUCUUCCACAUUUAGCACAAUCUGUUCACCCAUUGCAAUCAACAUUAUUAAUUGAAUAUGUGGCUGGGCAUUCACUAUGCCAAAUUUACAGGAAAUGUAGCCUCAUUUAAUUUUUGUUACUUGCAUGUUUUUUCUUUGCUUAUAUUGUCUGAAUCUAAAUUUGUACAUAACUCCAAAGGGAUAACCUUGAAAUAAGAAAGAAAUUCUUGGCUGGUACCUGCACUUAAAUUCAUCGAGAACUUAUUAUUACCCAAAGUGCUAUAUUAACUGUUCGUAUUUCAUUCAUUGCUAGCAGAGAGAUGCAGAAUAUGCAGUUUACUAUAGCUGCAAUUGGCAUUAACUAUCUUCAAGAUAUGGAGUUAUGGAUGCCAAGGGAAACUGAUCAUUUUGGUUUUAGUUAAUGAAGGUUGAACAUGUCAGUCUAGAUGCUCAUGUGAUGAGCUUAGUUUUUUGUUUCCUUCAAUGAAGCUUCGAUCUGUU